RNAcentral lists this ribosomal RNA (449 nucleotides) under Hafnia paralvei. Its description in RNAcentral is "bacterial LSU rRNA". It matches the Rfam family "Bacterial large subunit ribosomal RNA", at positions 2041 to 2489 of the family's 2925-position model. The record is from RNAcentral. Lineage: Bacteria; Pseudomonadati; Pseudomonadota; Gammaproteobacteria; Enterobacterales; Hafniaceae.
AUUGAACUCGCUGUGAAGAUGCAGUGUACCCGCGGCAAGACGGAAAGACCCCGUGAACCUUUACUAUAGCUUGACACUGAACACUGGUCCUUGAUGUGUAGGAUAGGUGGGAGGCUUUGAAGUGUGGACGCCAGUCUGCAUGGAGCCAACCUUGAAAUACCACCCUUUAAUGGCUGGUGUUCUAACGUAGACCCGUAAUCCGGGUUGCGGACAGUGUCUGGUGGGUAGUUUGACUGGGGCGGUCUCCUCCCAAAGAGUAACGGAGGAGCACGAAGGUUAGCUAAUCCUGGUCGGACAUCAGGAGGUUAGUGCAAUGGCAUAAGCUAGCUUGACUGCGAGCGUGACGGCGCGAGCAGGUGCGAAAGCAGGUCAUAGUGAUCCGGUGGUUCUGAAUGGAAGGGCCAUCGCUCAACGGAUAAAAGGUACUCCGGGGAUAACAGGCUGAUACC